Peromyscus leucopus (white-footed mouse) is the source of this 102-nucleotide small nuclear RNA. The record is from RefSeq and is a predicted model, not a curated record. NCBI's taxonomy places the organism in Eukaryota, Metazoa, Chordata, Mammalia, Rodentia, Cricetidae.
GUACUCGCUUCAGCAGCACAUAUACUAAAAUUGGAACGAUACAGAGAAGAUGUACAUGGCCCUUGUGCAAACACACAAAUUCGUGAAGCGUUCCAUAUUAAA